RNAcentral lists this transfer RNA (65 nucleotides) under Taenia sp. MPM<JPN>:20922. RNAcentral describes it as "tRNA-Met". Lineage: Eukaryota; Metazoa; Platyhelminthes; Cestoda; Cyclophyllidea; Taeniidae. The record is from RNAcentral.
AGACUGGUAAGUUAAAUUAAACUGUGGGGUUCAUGUCUCCAUUUUACACUUAUGUGUCUAGUUGA